AGUAACACGUGGAUAACCUACCUAUAAGACUGGGAUAACUUCGGGAAACCGGAGCUAAUACCGGAUAAUAUUUUGAACCGCAUGGUUCAAAAGUGAAAGACUGUCUUGCUGUCACUUAUAGAUGGAUCCGCGCUGCAUUAGCUAGUUGGUAAGGUAACGGCUUACCAAGGCAACGAUGCAUAGCCGACCUGAGAGGGUGAUCGGCCACACUGGAGCUGAGACACGGUCCAG
RNAcentral lists this ribosomal RNA (231 nucleotides) under uncultured Staphylococcus sp. RNAcentral's name for it is "partial 16S ribosomal RNA". It matches the Rfam family "Bacterial small subunit ribosomal RNA", at positions 109 to 334 of the family's 1533-position model. The record is from RNAcentral. Lineage: Bacteria; Bacillati; Bacillota; Bacilli; Caryophanales; Staphylococcaceae.